RNAcentral lists this ribosomal RNA (191 nucleotides) under uncultured bacterium. RNAcentral describes it as "partial 16S ribosomal RNA". It matches the Rfam family "Bacterial small subunit ribosomal RNA", at positions 284 to 500 of the family's 1533-position model. The record is from RNAcentral.
CGCCCGCCGCGCGCGGCGGGCGGGGCGGGGGCACGGGGGGCCUACGGGAGGCAGCAGUUAGGAAUCUUCCACAAUGGGCGAAAGCCUGAUGGAGCGACGCCGCUUGAGGGAAGACGGUCUUCGGAUUGUAAACCUCUGAACGAGUGACGAAAGAUAACCAAAAUGACGGUAGCUCGUAAUGACCCAUCCAA